AGCGUAGGUGGCAUUCUAAGUCUGAUGUGAAAGCUCUGAGCUUAACUCAGAAAUGGCAUUAGAAACUAGUUUGCUUGAGGAUUGGAGGGGAGAUUGGAAUACUUGGUGUAGCAGUGAAAUGCGUAGAUAUCAAGUGGAACACCAGUGGCGAAGGCGAAUCUCUGGACAAUUCCUGCACUGAUGCUCGAAAGCGUAGGGAGGCAAAC
This 206-nucleotide ribosomal RNA is filed under the name uncultured bacterium. Its description in RNAcentral is "partial 16S ribosomal RNA". It matches the Rfam family "Bacterial small subunit ribosomal RNA", at positions 568 to 773 of the family's 1533-position model. The record is from RNAcentral.